This 396-nucleotide ribosomal RNA is filed under the name uncultured Methanosaeta sp. Its description in RNAcentral is "bacterial SSU rRNA". It matches the Rfam family "Archaeal small subunit ribosomal RNA", at positions 943 to 1338 of the family's 1478-position model. The record is from RNAcentral. Lineage: Archaea; Methanobacteriati; Methanobacteriota; Methanomicrobia; Methanotrichales; Methanotrichaceae.
CAAUAUGAAGGUCAGGCUGAAGACCUUACCCGAUUAGCUGAGAGGUGGUGCAUGGCCGUCGUCAGUUCGUACUGUGAAGCAUCCUGUUAAGUCAGGCAACGAGCGAGACCCACGUCCACAGUUGCCAGCAUACCCUCCGGGGUGAUGGGUACACUGUGGAGACCGCCGCUGCUAAAGCGGAGGAAGGAGUGGGCAACGGUAGGUCAGUAUGCCCCGAAUCUCCCGGGCUACACGCGGGCUACAAUGGUUGGUACAAUGGGCAUCUACCCCGAAAGGGGAAGGAAAUCUCUUAAAGCCAAUCGUAGUUCGGAUUGAGGGCUGCAACUCGCCCUCAUGAAGUUGGAAUCCGUAGUAAUCGCGUUUCAACAGAACGCGGUGAAUACGUCCCUGCUCCUU